UACGUAGGGUGCGAGCGUUGUCCGGAAUUAUUGGGCGUAAAGAGCUCGUAGGCGGCUUGUUGCGUCGUCCGUGAAAACCCGCAGCUCAACUGCGGGCUUGCGGACGAUACGGGCAGGCUGGAGUUCGGUAGGGGAGAUCGGAAUUCCUGGUGUAGCGGUGAAAUGCGCAGAUAUCAGGAGGAACACCGGUGGCGAAGGCGGAUCUCUGGGCCUGUCCUGACGCUGAGGCGCGAAAGCUAGGGGAGCGAACAGG
Molecule: ribosomal RNA, 253 nt
Filed under: uncultured bacterium
Lineage: Bacteria
Description: partial 16S ribosomal RNA
Rfam family: Bacterial small subunit ribosomal RNA
Source: RNAcentral